Molecule: non-coding RNA, 189 nt
Organism: Chloroflexi bacterium RBG_16_63_12
Lineage: Bacteria; Bacillati; Chloroflexota
Source: Rfam
UCCAUCGCGAGGUGGAAUCCGAAGGGCAUGAGGAGAAGUACCGGGCCGUAAUCGAUGGGGGCCACCCCGAAGAUGAACCGGUCGGCCAAAGGUGGGGCAAGGUCGAGCCUGCACUACGAAGGCGAAGGCGUUCUCAUUCACCCACCGCACCAAGGUGUUUGCGGACGGCACGGUACGGAAGAGCGAUGC